RNA transcript from Cebus imitator (Panamanian white-faced capuchin), 1892 nucleotides. It is a transcript of the gene named THAP domain-containing protein 1-like, with no coding region annotated. The record is from RefSeq and is a predicted model, not a curated record. Lineage: Eukaryota; Metazoa; Chordata; Mammalia; Primates; Cebidae. The transcript has a single exon.
AGAAAGGGGAAUAAGAAUAUACAAAAUAAGGCUAAGAUGACCUACAGAAUGAGAGAAAAUAUUUGUAAAUCAUAUAUCUGAUAAGGAUAUAGUUUCCAGAAUAUAUAAAGAACUCUUACAAUUCAACAACAAAAAAAGCAAAUAUCCCAAUUUAAAAAUGGGCAAAAGACCUGAAUAGACAUUUCUCCAAAGAUAUACAUAUGGCCAAUAAGCAUUCUAAAACAUGCUCAAAUCAAAACCAUAAUAAGAUACCACUCCACACCAAGUAGCAUGGCCACUAUAAUAAUAGCAAUAGAGAUCUGCUGGCGAGUGGGAUGCACGCCUUGCGAGAGGUGAGGUUGAAGCUGCCUCCGCCAUCUUGGAGAUGGGAGAUGGGCGACGGCUGUGGUCCUUCAGCUAAUGCAAACAACAAAACGGGCACACUAGUCACACCCGAGGGAGGCCACCAUCACUGUUAACUGUUUGCCAAAGCUACAAAAGAAACGAGGUGUCCAACUGAGCGCGGUGACACUGAAAGCAGCUUCCCCUGCCUUCUGCGGCUGCGGAAGUGAAGUGCCAGAGGACCGGAAGGAUGGUGCAGUCCUGCUCCGCCUAUGGCUGCAAGAAACGCCAGGACCAGGACAAGGACAAGCCCGUUUCUUUCCACAAGUUUCCUCUUACUUGACCCAGUCUCUGUAAAGAAUGGCAGGCAGCUGUCAGAAGAAAAAACUUUAAACCCACCAAGUACAGCAGUAUUUGUUCAGAGCACUUUACUCCAGACUGCUUUAAGAGGGAGUGCACAAGAAGUUACCGAAAGAGAACGCUGUGCUCACAAUAUUUCUUUGUACUGAGCCACAGGACAAGAAAGACGAUCUUCUGGAGCCACAAGAACAGCUUCCCCCACCUCCUUUACCGCCUCUUUCCCAGGUUGAUGCUGCUAUUGGAUUACUAAUGCCACCUCUUCAGACCCCUGUUAAUCUCUCAGUCUUCUGUGACCACACUGUACUGUGGAGGAUACAGUGCACCAGCGGAAAAGGAUUCAUCAGCUAGCACAGCAGGUUGAAAAACUCAGAAAAAAGCUCAAGACUGCACAGCAGCGAUGCAGAAGGCAAGAACGGCAGCUUGAAAAAUUAAAGGAGGUUGUUCAAUUCCAGAAAAAGAAAGACGACGUAUCAGAAAGAGGUGAUGUGAUUCUACCAAAUGACUACUUUGAAAUAGUCGAAGUACCAGCAUAAUAAAAUGAAAUGUGUAUUGAUUUCUAAUGGGGCAAUACCACAUACCCUCUUCUGGCCUAUAGAGGAGUUUCAUUUAAAAAAAAUAACACUUGUUAUAUAAAAACAGUUAAGAACAUUUUUUAAAAAGAGAAUUCGAUAUAUACUUUAAAAUUAUAAAUAUUUUGUUUGUAAUUUCAAGUUUUUUACAUUUUAACAAAAUAUUUUAAAAGUUAUAAACUAACCUCAGAACUCUAAGUUGGUUUCAAGAUUGGAGAUUUUUGGGGUUUAGUAUUUAUAGAAAUAAUGUAAAAAUAAAAAGUAAAAAGAAUGAGAACAGUACAGUAAAAGGGUGAUUUAAGUUUAAAACUUAAAAUUAAUACUGUUUUAUUGAAAGAACUAGUUAUAUUUUAAAUCAGAAGUAUGGGUCAGAUCAUGGGACAUUACUUCUCAGAAUAUAUGUAUAUGUACAUAUUAUUAUGUGUAAAGUCACAAGGUUCAUUACUUUCUGAAUCAGUUAUCAAGGAUAAACUGGCAAGUCAGUACUUAAAAAGAAAAAAAGAUUUGAUUGUCUUCAGCAGAAAAGAGUCAUUCUAUAUCUAAUCAAUAACUUUAGAUUCUAAGAGUGGAUUUUUUUUUUAAUGGGCUCCUAUUUUUUCUCCUACUGUCUAGCUAUUUAAAAUUAGAAGUGUAUUUUCAGUG